AGAGUUCGAUUAUGGCUCAGGAUGAACGCUGGCGGCGUGCUUAACACAUGCAAGUCGAACGAAGCACUCUAUUUGAUUUUCUUCGGAAAUGAAGAUUUUGUGACUGAGUGGCGGACGGGUGAGUAACGCGUGGGUAACCUGCCUCAUACAGGGGGAUAACAGUUGGAAACGACUGCUAAUACCGCAUAAGCGCACAGGAUCGCAUGGUCCGGUGUGAAAAACUCCGGUGGUAUGGGAUGGACCCGCGUCUGAUUAGCCAGUUGGCAGGGUAACGGCCUACCAAAGCGACGAUCAGUAGCCGACCUGAGAGGGUGACCGGCCACAUUGGGACUGAGACACGGCCCAA
Molecule: ribosomal RNA, 346 nt
Filed under: uncultured bacterium
Lineage: Bacteria
Description: bacterial SSU rRNA
Rfam family: Bacterial small subunit ribosomal RNA
Source: RNAcentral